This 496-nucleotide ribosomal RNA is filed under the name uncultured bacterium. Its description in RNAcentral is "partial 16S ribosomal RNA". It matches the Rfam family "Bacterial small subunit ribosomal RNA", at positions 29 to 507 of the family's 1533-position model. The record is from RNAcentral.
AUGAACGCUGGCGGCGUGCCUAAUACCUGCAAGUCGAGCGAACAGACGAGGAGCUUGCUCCUCUGACGUUAGCGGCGGACGGGUGAGUAACACGUGGAUAACCUACCUAUAAGACUGGGAUAACUUCGGGAAACCGGAGCUAAUACCGGAUAAUAUAUUGAACCGCAUGGUUCAAUAGUGAAAGACGGUUUUGCUGUCACUUAUAGAUGGAUCCGCGCCGCAUUAGCUAGUUGGUAAGGUAACGGCUUACCAAGGCAACGAUGCGUAGCCGACCUGAGAGGGUGAUCGGCCACACUGGAACUGAGACACGGUCCAGACUCCUACGGGAGGCAGCAGUAGGGAAUCCUCCGCAAUGGGCGAAAGCCUGACGGAGCAACGCCGCGUGAGUGAUGAAGGUCUUCGGAUCGUAAAACUCUGUUAUUAGGGAAGAACAAAUGUGUAAGUAACUAUGCACGUCUUGACGGUACCUAAUCAGAAAGCCACGGCUAACUACGUG